This is a non-coding RNA of Biomphalaria pfeifferi, 214 nucleotides long. The record is from the annotation of a GenBank genome assembly. Lineage: Eukaryota; Metazoa; Mollusca; Gastropoda; Planorbidae.
AUUCUUCUUUAAUCAAUCCUGUAAAGAAACAAAAACUCUUUCUCUCCUAAUCGACGAUACCAUCGAUGAUUUGACCCUCAUUAAAAUUCAAUUAAUAAUUAGUUUUAAAAUUUUUUCUCUAUGUUCUAUAGAAGGAGCAUGCAUUCCCCUUUAAUCCUAUAUCAAAUAAACAUUUUCUGAUCACAACGAACAAAGCUAUUGAAGCUUAAUCAUA